GACGAACGCUGGCGGCGUGCUUAACACAUGCAAGUCGAACGGAAAGGCCUUUUCGGAGGUACUCGAGUGGCGAACGGGUGAGUAACACGUGGGUGAUCUGCACUGCACUCUGGGAUAAGCCUGGGAAACUGGGUCUAAUACCGGAUAGGACCGCUCUUUAGAGUGUGUGGUGGCAAGUUUUUUCGGUGUAGGUUGAGCCCGCGGCCUAUCAGCUCGUUGGUGGUGUAAUGGCCUACCAAGGCGCCGGCGGGUAGCCGGACUGAGAGGUUGAUCGGCCACAUUGGCACUGAGAGGCGGCCCAGACUCCGACUGGAGGCAGCAGGGGGGAAGAUUGCACAAGGGGCGCAAGCCUGAUGCAGCGACGCCGCGGGGGGGAGGACGGCGUUCGUGUUGGAGAAGCCUUGCGCCAGGGACGAAGCGUUUUGUGACGGUACCUGGAGAAGAAGCACCGGCUAACUACGUG
This 463-nucleotide ribosomal RNA is filed under the name uncultured bacterium. RNAcentral describes it as "partial 16S ribosomal RNA". It matches the Rfam family "Bacterial small subunit ribosomal RNA", at positions 28 to 507 of the family's 1533-position model. The record is from RNAcentral.